RNAcentral lists this long non-coding RNA (1214 nucleotides) under Glycine max (soybean). RNAcentral's name for it is "long non-coding RNA (GMAX_LNC003145)". Lineage: Eukaryota; Viridiplantae; Streptophyta; Magnoliopsida; Fabales; Fabaceae. The record is from RNAcentral.
UUCAUAACAGAUCCAAAUCUUGUCGGCGUGGGAGUUGCCAGGAAUUGUGGAUCUAGAUUUUUGCCAUCUUCCCCUUUGCAUCCUUAGCAGUCGCACAAAUUCGUGGACCUGAAUUGGGAUUUGGAUCUUCAAUGCGCUUUAAGGUUAUGGUUGGGUUUGGGAUCGCGAAAUUGGGGGUGGAUGUGAGAGGAGCACCAACUUCCGCGUCUCGCCUCCGCCACCGUGCUCUCUGGUGAACAAGAGGUAAGGCUUUCUCCUUUUUCUGUGGAACACAACUUUCAAAUCACGUCCUCAUUAUUCAAACAAGACUUCUUCACCACCAAUUUGAAAGAACCCUUGCUUUCAACCCGUGUCUCAUUCAUCCAAUGUCGGAAAAUUCAACAUAUACAAUGAAUUACCUCUAUAAUUUAUCAGAAAGCAUGUCGUCUUGAACAUCAUACUACCAUUAACCUAAGAUUUAGACCAAUAAAAUGGCAGUUUGGGUGAGAAAAAUCUUUAAAAUAGAAAACAGUAUUUGACGCUAAAAUUUUACUUACAACUUCUCAAAAGUUUAAGAAAGUACUGAGAUUUUUUAAUUUUGCAACUACCACUGUCUCAAAUCAGGUCUCAUUUUAUAGCCAAAGAAAACAAACCGCAGAAUUUUAUUUCUUUUCUAUACUCAUCAAUUUCAUAAUUCUUUUCGACAUCAUUCCAUUUUGGGUAUUCAUAGAAAAUUCCUCGAAUGGUACCACAAUUCAUUCCAUGUACAACAAUGUGUUGAACCACUUCAACAAGUCUGCGUGUAUGAUAUUCAGUGUAUCUGAUGUUCGUAUUAAUUCUUUAAAAAUACAAAUUCAUUGAUUCCAAAUUUUAUAGGAUCUUUUGUCAAGUCUAUUUCUCUCUAAAAAUACAUAAAAAGUAUUAGUUCAUGUAAAAAGUGCAGUUUAUUGUUUUUAACCCGUAGCUAUACAGUAUCAAUCAUAAUCAAUAGGACAUGUUGUAGUGUAAAAAUCGCUAAAAAUCACACUAAAUUUGAAAUGACAUGAGAGCAAAGGCAUUGCGGAGAGGACAAAAGGAAAUUGGAGAAGAAAAAACAGAGAGACGGGUAAAGAAAGGACCUCUUGCUUGCCCUUGGUGAGGGAGGGGCAUGACGACGAAGUUUCUGUACUAGUUCUCUUUCUUAGGUUAACGAUGAUUGGCACUGGUUCUUAGUGAGUAUACUCUUUGCAUUUUUU